ACAAUGUCACAGUGGUUAUACAAGUGAGUCCUGUUCAGCGUGGGAGGAAAUAACACAAGAGGCAAAGAUCACUCGGGACCACCUUGUAUAUUGGCUACCACAGAACCCAACACAAGCAGUAAGUUAAAAUCAUGAAGCUCCUGACGUCAGAGGACAUGGCUCUGCCAUUUGUUAGGUAGGGAUCCUGUUAAAGGCUCAGCUUCCUCAUCUGGAAAUGGAAAUAUAGGCCUUGCCUGGUUUGCUGUAAUGGGUCGUGAUGAGGACCAAACUACAAAGAGUGGUACAGAUGUUAAUUACAAUGAUUUUUCCUAUGCCACCCAUGGAAACAAAAAUAGCAAGAUAGAGAAGGCUAAAUCCCAGUUUUUUUUGACUGCUAUUCAGCAAAGCCUAGGAGACUUUCAUGACACCUGGAGAGGCGGCCGUAGUGUAUGUGUAAGAGUACCGGUUCCAGAGUGGGGCUCCCCGAGCUCAGCCCCACCACUUACCAACAGCGGACCUUGGGCCAGAUGCUGAAGCCCUUUGUGCCUUGGUUUCCUGACCUAUUACUGUGGAAAUGAUGACAGUACCCUCCUCAUGGCAUCGUGAGAAUUAAAUUAGCUAAUUCAGGUGAAGCAUUUAGAAGAGGACCUCCUGACACUUAAUAACUGCUUGAUAUAAAUAAUAGCUUCUGCUACAGAGUGGCCAUGAAGUCUGGACAUGUAGAUAUUAUAUUAUCAUGCAUCAUAAGGUAGUUGAUCUGGUGUGAGAUUCCAACCUCGUGUGAGAGAGGAGAAGACCUUCAUUACACUAAUUCAUGCUGGCCCAGCCUCCAGGCCACCCCAGAUGUGAGGUGCUGUUAACACUGCUCUCAGAUGGAGUCUCGCUCUGUUGUCCAGGCUGGAGUGCAGUGGGGCGAUCUCGGCUCACUGCAACCUCUGCCUCCUGGGUUCAAGUGAUUCUCCUGCCUCAGCCUCCCAAGUAGCGGGGACUACAGGUGAGCACCACCAUGCCCGGCUAAUUUUUGUAUUUUUAGUAGAGACGGGGUUUCACUGUGUUAGCCAGGAUGGUCUCGAUCUCCUGACCUUGUGAUCCGCCCUCCUCGGCCUCCCAAAGUGCUGGGAUUACAGGCGUGAGCCACCGUGCCCAGCCCAGGCUGUGCUCUUUUAUGUCUAUGUUGUUUCCUUCACACUUACGUUUCUGUGAUUCAUCCACUAGGUAGUGUACAGCAUUGCUUGUUCAUCCCAGUGCCGUGUGGAAUUCUGUUGUGUAAAUACAGCACAAUCUGUGUAUGCACUCUCAUGUUGCCUCACAUUUCAGUGGUUUCUGGCUUUCAUUUUUUACAAAUAGCACUGCAAUGAAUGCUGCUGCACACGCUGUUGAGCUCGUGGACACUUUCCUGCUGGGUGAGGACCCGAACGUGAAAUUGCUGGGUCAUGGAUUCAAGUGCUACACAUAUUUUUGACCACAUUACUGUGACUCAGGAAGCCCAGGAACAGAAUUCUAGGCACCAGAACCAUACAUGUUACAGCCUCUGAGCUUUAUGGCCUCUGAGCCAUUUGUCCAGCCACAUCAUUUGCAGAUGAGAUCCUGAGACUCAGGCUGGAAAAGUGACCGGGGAAAAGUCACACAAGUCAGAGGCAGAGCUGGAGUUUCCUCAUUUCCAGGCCCGUAUAGAUCAAGACGGACGUUGGUCAAACACCUCCUAGUACUCACAUGAAGAAGCUCUCCUUUCUGCUGUAGGAAUGAUCACACACCAUUCCAAUCUGGAUACCAAAUGUCAUUGUUUAUUAAAUGUGUGCAGUGUGCCAGGCAUAUUGUGUCAUAUGUUUACAUGUGUCAUAUAUUUACAUUACAUAUGAUCGCUGGUUCUUACAACAACCCUUCAAGACAGGUCAUAUCAAGCCCAUUUUUCAGACGGGAAAAAGAGCUCAGAGGGGAUGAUUAGCUUGUUCAGGUUUUCCAGUUUCCUUAGGAAGUGGCAGAGCUGGAUCUGAACUCUGCUUGUGACUACUUGGGGGAUGGAGGAGUGAACUCCUUUUUAUCAGAUCCUGGCUGCUUCGGCACCAGAAGAAUGCUUCUUCCCCC
RNAcentral lists this long non-coding RNA (2064 nucleotides) under Homo sapiens (human). RNAcentral describes it as "PREDICTED lncRNA (TCONS_00189928)". Lineage: Eukaryota; Metazoa; Chordata; Mammalia; Primates; Hominidae. The record is from RNAcentral.